Molecule: long non-coding RNA, 4611 nt
Organism: Metopolophium dirhodum (rose-grain aphid)
Lineage: Eukaryota; Metazoa; Arthropoda; Insecta; Hemiptera; Aphididae
Exons: 11
Source: RefSeq, a predicted model, not a curated record
AUAAUACGCUAAAAGUAAAUAAUGUAGCAAUAGACAUAUUAGCAAUCACUGCUAUUAUUUUAACUAGACAUCAGUGUGCUAUUAUAGCUGCUAUUGCUAGGUAUUUCUUACCAUCACUAGUUUCUCGUUUCUCGUUCGAGUUGUGCGGGUGAAGGGGAAACGGUUUCGUUGUGUCCGCGGCUAUUGCGUUCGUUUUCGGGAUUCAACACACAAUGUCGUCCUGCAGAUAAUAGUGUCCAACUCUGUAUCCAAUUUUGUGUCUUCUUGAGCGUUUGUUCUUUUUCUGAAAUAUACCCAGGUACAUUUUUCCGCGAAAGAAAUAUUAAAUACCGUGCGCCCGCCGUCCGUGUAAUAGUAAAGUUCGCGCGCCGUUUACUCGUCGUCGGUCGUGAUAAGAGGUUUUCUUUCCUCUCUGACACCCGUUUCGGUACUUAAUAAUUUAAUUUCAUGACGACCAAACGGAUCGGUUGUCCUACACCUACUCCUACUCCUACACCUACUACCAUUUGACUAUGGAGGCGAAUCGUCCCAUCGCAGGUAUACCGUAUUGUCCGACUCGUCGGACGGCGCGAUGCUAGUUGUGAAGCACAACCAUGUCGCGGUGUGCUUGCUGCUGGUCCGGUCGGCGUUCGGAUACUUGCUGGUCGUACCCGACAUGGACUCAACGGGGUUGGUUCUGUUCGACGGCGGCAUACGGUUCUACGACCGGCCGGCCAGACGGUAUGCGUUGAACCCGGAAAAGAGGUAUGACUUUGUCGCCAUACUGCUGUGCGUCGACCACUACACUGGAUCGGUUAUACUCAAACGGCCGUUGGAAUGCGAUGGUUUCAAGUAUUCAGACGUGUUUACAUUCUAUGUGGAUUCUACUUCGAACCACACACUGAAAUAUAUGUCCGUACCGUUGAGAAUGGUUAUCAAGGGAUGCGAAAAAAACAGAUGUUCGAAUUGGUCACAGUGGAGGAAUUAUUGUAAAUACCUGAACUUAUGAUAUGCGUUAGUGAAAAUUGUGAACAAGAUAACCCCUGCAAUGGAAAUAAAUGCUUCCUAUGGUCCAAAGCAUAGCAAGUGUAUACCUUUGUGGCAAAACUAUACAUGCAAAUGUCAUACAGGAUUUGUGGGAAUAGCUUAUGAAAGUGUGUGUCAUACUAACCCUUGCGAAAACAAUGCUCUGUGCAUUGAAGAUCGGAAGAGCCUUUGUGUUUAUCGUUUUUAAUGUAAUUAGACUUCGUUUACUGGUGAUUACUGUGAGCAUGAACUCAAAGAGUCAUGUCCUGUUAGCUGGUGGGAUUAUCAUCAUGGAGUUUGUGGUCUAUAUAACUGUAUGGUGGAAAAUGGUUAUAACCCCCACUCUAAUAAAACCACUGCACAAUGUUAUUGCAAAGACAAUCAUUACAUUCCUCAUGGUUCUGAUAAAUGUCUUGAGUGUGGUUGCUACAAUGUUGGUUUUUUUGAUCGUUCUUGUGAUCAAACUACUGGACAAUAUAAGUGUCGUUCUGGUGUUAUAGGUUUCAGGUGUGACCAAUUUCCAAAUUCCUGUGAGGAAGUCACAUUAAAUGGAUGUGAAGUUAUCUAUUAGUUUUCUAUGACUGCUGUCCAAAGAGUAUAGCAGGUAAUAUUUGGUGGCCUAGAGCGAAAUGGGGUGAACAUGUAACUGAAGAGUGCCCAAUCAGUUCUCAAGGCAAAGACACACGCUUAUGUCAAAAUACUUUAGUUGGAUGGCAAUACCCUGACAUAUUCAAUUGCACUUCCAACUCAUUUGUUGAUAUUUAGAGACUCCUAUUGGUUUAUAUGUAGUUUCAGCUGAGAGUCUAUUUGGGUUUGAACUGGAACAUGAACGACCAGAUUUGUCGAUUUCUGCAUUGACAGAAGAGAAAGUAAAUUUACCCAACUCAUCUAUACUUCAACCAGCUAUACAAGUUUUGAGUCUAAAACCUGGUUCAGAUAUAUUAGGUUCAAUAAAUAUGGGUAGCCAUGUUGUUGUUUUACCUAAAUGUAUCAACUAUUUUUUGGAUUUUUCAAAGUUUGAUAAACAUACCCAAAUAACGGUGCCGAUCGAUUUACUGGGUAUUGAGCUAUUAAAACAUGGAAUGACCACUACGAAAGGACAACUAUCUAAAAAUGCAGCUAUUGUUGGUUAUGUACAGUAUCAUACUAUUGAGUGUUGUUACCAUUACGUUACGAUGACACUGUUUUAAGGAGGUAUUCUGUAGAUCUCCAAGUGGGUUCUCCAGUUAUAUCAUUUAUUCCUACUCUGAAUCACAAUAAUCCUAAAAGAAAACAACAGCACUUAAAUGGUAAAGAGAUUUCAGUGUUAUCUGACAUGGUGCCUUUGGAUUCACCGAUUCGUAUCAAGGUUUGGAUUAACAAAAACCCAGUUACAUGGAGAUCCAAUCCAAUGUGUAUGGUGGUCAACAUCUAGAGUAAUCAAUAUUCAAUUAAGGAACACAUUGACAACAAUAAGUAAUUAUGACCAUUCAACAUCAGACUUGCCAUCAAGUUUUCACCGAACGCAACAUAAAUCAGAUUCAGAUUUUGAAGGUUCAGGUGAAGAAAGAAGUUUAGACUUAGCUUCUUCCCAUAGUAGUGAUGAGGAUGAUUCUUCUCGCCACAGAGGUCGUAGAAGUAAUACUUCUUCGAAUUGACCACCUCCAUUUUUACCAAAUAUAAAUGAAGAUCCUGGAUUGCCUCCUUCGCUCUAUGUAAUUACAAUUUCACAAUUGUUUCCAAAUUUAAAACCUCUGUAUGCUCCACGAUGUACUAGUCAACAAUAUCCAACAGUUCAAGAAGAAGACCAUGCAGUUGGAAAACAUCGUUGGACAGGAUUAACAAUAUAUGAUCAGGACAAUUCAGUGACAAAGAAUCAAAUGUCUCUUGAACCACCAUCGUUAUACAGUGAAUACUUUGGUUAGCAUCACAAGAGCUCAACAUUCAAUUCUCUGAACAAAACAGAAUCGUUUUUCUUAUACAAUGAUUUAUAUCAAUCAAUUCAAAUUUAACACCAUUCAUUUCAGUGACCUACUUGUAACAUAAUGUACAGCAGAGCAACACCCACUUGCCACCUUUUUUUUUUUAUCUAAUUUUUUGAAAUUAUUUAAAUCCAUAACCCUGGUUAAAACAAAAUCUAUAUACUUUUCGUACUAUACAUCAAAUAUUAAUUAAUUGUACAAUCAUUCUAAAUUAGUUUUUUAUUUUUUUUGAAAUUUAGGAAGAAUUUGAGUGAAACUCCGGUGUAAUGUGAAUUAAUAUACAGUAGAAAUUCAACUAAUUGUGGUCUUUCUUUUCUCCCUAUCAAACUGUAACAUUUAAUCCUGUUCAAUAAUAAGUGUACAUUUUCAGAAAUUUAGCAUAUUCAUUUUUAUUCCUUCCUUUUUUACUCCACACACUAAAUAAGUAUGAACAUUUUAUGGUCUCAAUUAUUAUAUUUUUUUUUUGUAUUUAAGGUUAUAUUUCAAUUUUAUAAAUAAGUCAUAUUAUGUAUACAGUAAAAUACCUAGUUCCUACCAUUUUUUUUUUUAUAAAAGUUAAGGCUAGGGUUUGCGAUUGUUGUUGUAUUCUCAAUUAGUAAUUAUAUGCAAGUCAAUCAAUUAUGUUUAUGAAUAGAAUAUUAUGUAACUAUAUGACAUAAUAUUAUGCAUUUUAUAAUAAUCUUCUCGCAAGCUUUAGUCGGCGUAGCCCAGUAACCAAUCAGUCACCCUCCCACUACCAUGGACCUUGUACAGACAAACAAUUAUAUAUCAGUGGUCAUCAAAUGGCGGCCGUGGGCCAUAUCCGGCCUGCGGACAAAUUUUAUCCAGCCCGCAGAUAAUGAAACAAAUUUACAAACCGACAAUAAUAAGCACAUAAUAAUAUGUAUUUGUUUGAUUGGCCACCCAAUAGUUGUAGUUGUUUUUAAAGUUUUCAAUAUUAAACAUUAUUAUGAGACUUCAUAUAAAAUAUUAAGUGCACAAAUCAUACACAAAGCAUACAAUUUCAUGUAGUUAGUUGAGAGCAACACUCGCCAUUUUUCUCAAUAAUUUUAACCCAAUUUUCUAUUUACAUUAUAAUUAUUAUAAAUUUGUAGGUAUUUGUAUUUUAUUGUAAUUAAUUUAAUCGGGUAAUUAUUAUUUUAUUUCCACUGGGCCACUAUCACUAUGUUACUGUUGCAUUAUAAUAAGUAAUAUGUUAAGAAUAUUUGCUUUGCAUUUUGAUGGCCCCUGAAAAUUUUCAAUCUCACAUAUAAUGAACACAUAUCUUUAUGAACAUUCCAAUUGACGUAACGUUGAAUGUGAUUAUUUUAUUUUAUUAAUUUAGACAUAUAGUUAUAUUUAUAUAUAUUUCCCUUUUAGUGCCAUACUGCCCGAGUUGGUAUAAUCAUUUUUGAUACGUAGGCCUAAGUUUUAUUUUUAAUUUCCACAAAAGUACAUUCACAAAAUGUUGAUAAUCAAAUUUUUUUAACUAACAAUCAUCAUAUUUUUUAUAAAUUUUAUAAAGAUCAUUGCGUUUGAUCAUUUAACAUCAUGCUCAAUAUUAACCUAGUUAUGACCGUUAUUGAUGAUAUUUGUACAAAUUGAGUAUAAUAAUUGUGAUUCAUCCAUUUUUUAAAUUUAACAUUCCAAAAGAGUUAUUUUAGUU